Microcebus murinus (gray mouse lemur) is the source of this 374-nucleotide non-coding RNA. The record is from RefSeq and is a predicted model, not a curated record. NCBI's taxonomy places the organism in Eukaryota, Metazoa, Chordata, Mammalia, Primates, Cheirogaleidae.
CUGCUAUUCUAGACAAUGAACAUCUGCCCACUGGGAGGCAGGGGGCUGUGGCUUCUGCUGCUGAUUGAAUGCUGCUGAGCAAGUGACUUCAGCUGAUGCCACUGAAGCAGAAGAACCGUCCAUCUGAGCCCCACCUGAGUUCCUGAUGCACAGAGCUGUGAGAGGAAUAAACAGACUCUGUGGGAUAACAAAGACUCACCAGCCAUCACCAACCUGUGGCUUCUGAAUUAGACUUCUGCACAUGUCACCUUCAAUACAACCUGCACCAAUACACGUGGCCACCUUCCUGAAUCCCUUAUAAAAACCCCUACCCACGGUUGGGGAGCUGGAUUUGAGGGAUUCCUCCUGUCUCCCAGAUGACAUCAUCUGUAAUA